GAUGAACGCUAGCUACAGGCUUAACACAUGCAAGUCGAGGGGAAACGACAUCGCAAGCUUGCUUUUGAUGGGCGUCGACCGGCGCACGGGUGAGUAACGCGUAUCCAACCUGCCCAUCACUUGGGAAUAACCUUGCGAAAGUAAGACUAAUACCCAAUGAUAUCCCACGAAGGCAUCGGAAUGGGAUUAAAGAUUUAUCGGUGAUGGAUGGGGAUGCGUCUGAUUAGCUUGUUGGCGGGGUAACGGCCCACCAAGGCAACGAUCAGUAGGGGUUCUGAGAGGAAGGUCCCCCACAUUGGAACUGAGACACGGUCCAAACUCCUACGGGAGGCAGCAGUGAGGAAUAUUGGUCAAUGGGCGAGAGCCUGAACCAGCCAAGUAGCGUGCAGGAAGACGGCCCUAUGGGUUGUAAACUGCUUUUAUAAGGGAAUAAAGUGGGUCACGUGUGACUUUUUGCAUGUACCUGAUGAAUAAGGACCGGCUAAUUCCGUG
Molecule: ribosomal RNA, 492 nt
Filed under: uncultured bacterium
Lineage: Bacteria
Description: partial 16S ribosomal RNA
Rfam family: Bacterial small subunit ribosomal RNA
Source: RNAcentral